Molecule: long non-coding RNA, 984 nt
Filed under: Bemisia tabaci
Lineage: Eukaryota; Metazoa; Arthropoda; Insecta; Hemiptera; Aleyrodidae
Description: lncRNA ENSSSA1NGG014172
Source: RNAcentral
AGGUUAUCGAGUCUCGAGCGAUCGAGUGCCAUUUGAAUGGUUUCGCGUUUGUUUCAGUUUUGUUUUUACAAUUUUCGAAAAUACCCACUGCGAGGUUAGUUUUGUGUGGCGUGAAGUUGGUGUUAUAAUUAGUAUGGAUGCGUUUAACGGAAAAACAGGAUCCUAAAAUUGGAAUUUCAGUUAUUUGAUGGCCGUGUCAAAUAUGCAGUUAUUCUCGACAAAAACGGAGGCAAACUUCAAAACUGGUCGCUCCAUCAUCAGUGUUGAAUCAAAUUCGUCCCUAAAACAGAUUUUCAGGACUUCUGAUGCACUUUCUGAUAAAGUCUAAAAAUCUGGAUGAUCGUUCGUGACCUUAAGCGUCUUGCAUCACCUAACAGGAGCGAAAGAUUCUGUUGCUUCUCUCAAGUAAAGAGCUCCUUUCAAUCAGUGCGUGGGAAAGUAUGGAUAAAAAAUUCAUGAAAAAUAAAACCAUCUUUCAAGUUUUCUUUUAGCCAAAUGAAGCAUGAUGAAAUCAACAGAACUAGUACACGGAUAAUUUGUGUUAAUUCAGCAUUAAAUCAUGCUCAAUGUUGGUGAUUAUUGGUUUUAACCAGUAUUAACCGGUAACUGCCAUCUCGAGCACCUUUAGUAGUAUGUGAAAUCGUAUCAGACCUUAGAAUACUAUCCUGAAGUCUAGUGCCAGUUAAAUUUUGUCAGAGGAAACCAUGGUGAGUUCCAGUCAACAAAUUAGCUCGAACAAAUAUUAGCCUUGCCUGUGGCCUUCCGAUCCCACGCAAGCAUUUUCCUCGAAACUUUUUCCCCUCGAAUGAAAAUGAGUGAUUUUUUCUACUGCGCAGAUAACUGAAGUGGCUGUGAAAAACCUCUAAUUUCCAGGCCUGCGGAUGAGCUUUAAGAAUGGCCUGACAAUUAAUACCUAAGUGAAAAUCCACGCUCUUGCGGGCGAUACAUCAAAAGCGUAGAACUGCGGCGCAAAGCAUGUAUUUU